CAGCGAAGCUCGGAGCUCUGGGCGUGCGGCGGCUGCGGUGGCUCCUGGGCUCCUCCGUCCAACCCGGGCCGCGGAGCCUCUACGCGCACCCCAUCCCCCUCCCGGCUGCGGAGUCUGGCGGCGGCGGGGACUGCUCGGGACCCGGACCCCCGGCGCCUUUCGUCCCCUGUCCCCAUUGUGACCUGUCUCUUGGCCCCGGAGCCCUCCCGCCCCACCCGCGCCGGGGUCUCCAGCGCGAAGGGCUCAGUCUCUGGUGUCCCCGGCCUGGGGCUGGCAAGCUGGGAAACAUUUUCCUGGGCAUCUAAAAGUAUUGUGGACCUGAGACACUGUGCUUACAGGGCCUACUGGUUUUCACUGUAUGAGACCGAGAAUGGAUUAUGGCAGUUCCUCUUACCUCCGCUGCAUACUUGACUCCAUCCACGGUGUGC
RNAcentral lists this long non-coding RNA (428 nucleotides) under Homo sapiens (human). RNAcentral describes it as "non-protein coding CA3-AS1:5". The record is from RNAcentral. Lineage: Eukaryota; Metazoa; Chordata; Mammalia; Primates; Hominidae.